GCUGGCUGCCAGCCAGGGGCUGCUGUUAGCUUCUAGAAUUUGCUAUCAUUCCUUGCCACCUUGUCCCUCAGUCUUCAGGUCAACAAUGGCAUGUGAAUUCUGCUUCUAGUCUGACUUCUCCUUCUGCCACCAGUGGGAGAAAGCUCUCUGCUUUUAAGGUCUCAUGGGAUUAGAUGAGGCUCACCCAGAAUAUUUCCCUAUUUUAAGGCUAAUUGUGCCAUGUAACCUAAGCUAAUUACAGAGGUGACAUCUCAUCAUGUGCACAGACGGGUUCCAGGGAGCCAGGCAGGACAUCUCUGGGGUGCUGGAUUUACUGUGCUGCACACUAGAGAAGGUACAUUUUUAUCAGACACCCUCUAUUUUCUUUUUCUUUUUUUUUUUUUUUUUUUGUUUUUGAGAUGGAGUCUCACUCUGUGGCCCAGGCUGGAGUGCAGUGGCGUGAUGCCGGCUCACUGCAACCUCUACCUCCCGGAUUCAAGCAAUUCUCAUGCCUCAGCCUCCCGAGUAACUGGGAUUACAGGGAUGUGCCACCAUGCUGGGCUCAUUUUUUCUAUUUUUAGUAGAGACAGGGUUUCACCAAGUUGGCCAGGUUGGUCUUGAAUUCCUGACCUCAAGUGGUCCACCCACCUCGGCCUCCCAAAAUGCUGCGAUUAUAGGCAUGAGCCACCGCGCCCAGACCCACCUCUAUUUUCUAAGUGCUAAACAACAUGGCUCCAAAGCAUAACUGAAAAGCAGGUUAGUUGCUCAUCGCAUGCAGAGUCCAAUGAACAAGCGCGAGGUCUGGUGUAAGAAAAGUGAAUGUAUUCCAAAGGUAGCUUGGGGAAGGGACACAACGCGUCCUGCCUUUACAUGUGCUGCUUCACCUUUGGAGCAGUAACAUGGACACUUUUAUAAGGUCGGGGGUGAGCAAGUAUGCAAGGCAGGCGUUCCCCUGUUGCCCCGUAUCUUAUCUACUGGAUAAUUGAGUUGGUGCCUUCCCAGGCAGAAAUAACUUGUAAAAGUGGCCAAGCGGGAAUGCUUUCGACAUACCCUCCUGGAGGAUGAAGGUCACUUCCAGUUUGCAGAGCAGAAGUUCUAAGGUCACCCCAUGGAGGUAAAAGUUCCGUGGCAGGUACGCUUCAGUCUGGAAAUCAACUGUCAGCAAAUCGACUGUCAGCUCUCAAGGAAAAGAUCUGUCUUGGAGCCGUUGAAGAAAUUGCCCUGAAGGGAAUUACCCUGAAGGGAAUGUCUAGGGGGAGGUGAACGGUUACAUUUGCAUUUCUGAAGGGCUGAGUAGGAAACGGGAAGGAGGGAAAGGGGAGAGAAUAGAA
This 1310-nucleotide long non-coding RNA is filed under the name Homo sapiens (human). RNAcentral's name for it is "non-protein coding lnc-NCL-5:1". Lineage: Eukaryota; Metazoa; Chordata; Mammalia; Primates; Hominidae. The record is from RNAcentral.